RNAcentral lists this small RNA (30 nucleotides) under Bombyx mori (domestic silkworm). RNAcentral describes it as "ovarian small RNA-10524". Lineage: Eukaryota; Metazoa; Arthropoda; Insecta; Lepidoptera; Bombycidae. The record is from RNAcentral.
AAGAGCGGAAAAUCCGACCGCCUUAGGCGA